RNAcentral lists this ribosomal RNA (520 nucleotides) under uncultured Diversispora. RNAcentral's name for it is "SSU rRNA". It matches the Rfam family "Eukaryotic small subunit ribosomal RNA", at positions 571 to 1091 of the family's 1831-position model. The record is from RNAcentral. Lineage: Eukaryota; Fungi; Glomeromycota; Glomeromycetes; Diversisporales; Diversisporaceae.
CAGCCGCGGUAAUCCAGCUCCAAUAGCGUAUAUUAAAGUUGUUGCAGUUAAAAAGCUCGUAGUUGAACUUCGGGGUUUACCCAUUGGUCAGGCUUAAUUGUCUGUACUGGUGAGAUAAAUCUCUACCUUCUGAGGAACUUUCAUGUCAUUAAUUUGGUGUGAUUGGAAAUCAGGACUGUUACUUUGAAAAAAUUAGAGUGUUUAAAGCAGGCUAACGUCUGAAUACAUUAGCAUGGAAUAAUGAAAUAGGACGGCUUGAUUCUAUUUCGUUGGUUUCUAGGAUCACCGUAAUGAUUAAUAGGGAUAGUUGGGGGCAUUAGUAUUCAAUUGUCAGAGGUGAAAUUCUUGGAUUUAUUGAAGACUAACUACUGCGAAAGCAUUUGCCAAGGAUGUUUUCAUUAAUCAAGAACGAAAGUUAGGGGAUCGAAGACGAUCAGAUACCGUCGUAGUCUUAACCAUAAACUAUGCCGACUAGGGAUCGGACGAAGUUAAUUUUAUAAUGACGCGUUCGGCACCUUAC